Molecule: long non-coding RNA, 285 nt
Organism: Hyaena hyaena (striped hyena)
Lineage: Eukaryota; Metazoa; Chordata; Mammalia; Carnivora; Hyaenidae
Exons: 2
Source: RefSeq, a predicted model, not a curated record
UGCCAUGUUGUAAGGACACUCAAGCGUCUCAUGGAGAGGUCCAUAUGGCAAAGACCUGAGCCCUCCUGCCAGCAGCCAGCACCAGUCUGCCAGCCACGUGAACAAGCUGUCUUCCCCAAUCAGAAAGAAGAAGCUGGGAGUAAAAAUCUUGCCAAGCAGAGAAGGCACCAAGUUACCAGUCACUCACUCACCUCAGGCCUCCUCCUCUGGCUCCCUUAUUUUGGAGCUUAGGUUUGCAAUAAUUGUUUUAUACAGAAGAACAAAACAUGCUCCUUUUAAAAAUCA